GAUGGAAGAACGUAGCGAAAUGCGAUAAGUAAUGUGAAUUGCAGAAUUCAGUGAAUCAUCGAGUCUUUGAACGCACAUUGCGCCCCCUGGUAUUCCGGGGGGCAUGCCUGUCCGAGCGUCAUUGCUGCCCUCAAGCACGGCUUGUGUGUUGGGCCCCCGUCCCCGGUUUCCCCCGGGGACGGGCCCGAAAGGCAGCGGCGGCACCGCGUCCGGUCCUCGAGCGUAUGGGGCUUUGUCACCCGCUCUGUAGGCCCGGCCGGCGCCAGCCGACACCCAACUUUAUUUCUAAGGUUGACCUCGGAUCAGGUAGGGAUACCCGCUGAACUUAAGCAUAUCAAUAAGCGGAGGA
Molecule: unclassified non-coding RNA, 349 nt
Filed under: soil metagenome
Description: partial contains 5.8S ribosomal RNA, internal transcribed spacer 2, and large subunit ribosomal RNA
Rfam family: 5.8S ribosomal RNA (bases 5-121)
Source: RNAcentral